GGCCUAGUAGCGUAAUGGUUAACGCGCCAGAUUUCGGUUAUUAUUGACUACCUCUGGAGAUUGGGAGUUCGAGUCUUCCCUGGGUCG
Molecule: non-coding RNA, 87 nt
Organism: Xylogone sp. PMI_703
Lineage: Eukaryota; Fungi; Ascomycota; Leotiomycetes
Source: the annotation of a GenBank genome assembly